Molecule: unclassified non-coding RNA, 1363 nt
Filed under: Hevea brasiliensis (rubber tree)
Lineage: Eukaryota; Viridiplantae; Streptophyta; Magnoliopsida; Malpighiales; Euphorbiaceae
Source: RNAcentral
AAGCAAUAUAUCACAUUUCUCCAGAAGUGAUUCAAUCACUCCAAUCUUGGAUGAAACCUUUGAACCACCCACAAUAGCAGCAAAUGGCCUCUUUGGAGUUGAAACUGCACCAACUAAAUAGUCCAAUUCCUUUUGUAAAAGGAAACCAGCAACAGAAGGCUUCAAAAAUUUAGUAACUCCCUCUGUAGAGGCAUGUGCUCUAUGAGCUGUACCAAAGGCAUCAUUCACAUAAAGAUCUGCCAAUGAUGCAAGUUUCUUUGCAAACUCAGGUUCAUUCUUCUCUUCCUCUUUGUAGAAUCUUACAUUCUCAAGAAGAAGAACACCGCCCUCUGGAAGUGAAUCAACCAACUUGUCAACUUCUGGACCAAUGCAAUCAUCAGCCUUUACAACCUGGAUUCCAAGUAGUUCAGAUAGCCUGGGGACAAGGGGUGCUAAGCUGUAUUUAGGAGUGACUCCCUUUGGCCUUCCCAAGUGACUGGAGAGAAUAACUUUAGCCCCAUUGGCAAUCAAGUGUUUGAUGGUAGGGAUGGCAGCUCUAAUCCUAGUGUCAUCAGUAAUGUUCUGUGAAUCAUCAAGUGGGACAUUCAAAUCAGCCCUGACGAAGACUUUCUUGCCCUUCAAAUCGGAAGAGCUAAGGUCUCCAACGCUCUUCUUGGCCAUGGAGACAACGGCCCUAACAGGGUUGGAGGAGGCCUUGACAGAUCGGAGCUUGGUCGCGACGUGGUUGGUGAAGAGAGGAUCAGCGACAGUUCCGGCGAAACCGAGGCGGCGGAGAGGAGUUUUAAGGAGGAAGCGAGCAGAGGAAUAUUAAAACGUGACAAGAAGAGGCGAAAGAGGAUUGAAGCAGCUGGAAUUGACUAUGAGUGCCCAGAAAUGGUGGGUUCAAUUCAGGCUGCACCAAAGAAGAUCAGAUUUGAUGCAGAUUAGAUCUUUCCGGCAGAACUGAGACAGCAUGAAGAUUAGUAUUUGGUAGUUUGCAUUUCAAUUCAUGGUCAUGGCAUUGGAACUGUGCUACUGAUGGGAUGCUGUGUGCUGCUUAAAUGUACUAAAUUGUCAACGAAGGUGGAAAGAUUGCUAGCACCAUACACUUUUCUGAUAGAAUUAGCAUUAUCAUAGACGACACCGAGGCUGUAAGACAUCCCAAACAUCUACUUGUAUUAGCUUUAAUUUUUGUGACUCCGACUCGAAAUGACUAGUGGAAUUCUUUGGGUGAUAUAAUGAAUUCUGUCCAGGCUCUGGCUGGUAAUGUAUCUUAAUUAAUAGUGUUUGGACUUUGAUGUGCCAGAUCUGUGGUUUCUUUUGAUCGUUAUGUAACAUUUCCUGCGGAAGGUACAGUUUAGUGAAUUACAUAAUCUUAAAUUUG